UAGGGAAUCUUCGGCAAUGGACGAAAGUCUGACCGAGCAACGCCGCGUGAGUGAAGAAGGUUUUCGGAUCGUAAAACUCUGUUGUUAGAGAAGAACAAGGACGUUAGUAACUGAACGUCCCCUGACGGUAUCUAACCAGAAAGCCACGGCUAACUACGUGCCAGCAGCCGCGGUAAUACGUAGGUGGCAAGCGUUGUCCGGAUUUAUUGGGCGUAAAGCGAGCGCAGGCGGUUUCUUAAGUCUGAUGUGAAAGCCCCCGGCUCAACCGGAGAGGGUCAUUGGAAACUGGGAGACUUGAGUGCAGAAGAGGAGAGUGGAAUUCCAUGUGUAGCGGUGAAAUGCGUAGAUAUAUGGAGGAACGCCAGUGGCGAAGGCGGCUCUAUGGUCUGUAACUGACGCUGAGGCUCGAAAGCGUGGGGAGCAAACAGG
Molecule: ribosomal RNA, 429 nt
Filed under: Gemmatimonadota bacterium
Lineage: Bacteria; Pseudomonadati; Gemmatimonadota
Description: Gemmatimonadetes bacterium partial 16S ribosomal RNA
Rfam family: Bacterial small subunit ribosomal RNA
Source: RNAcentral